RNAcentral lists this ribosomal RNA (226 nucleotides) under uncultured bacterium. Its description in RNAcentral is "partial 16S ribosomal RNA". It matches the Rfam family "Bacterial small subunit ribosomal RNA", at positions 109 to 334 of the family's 1533-position model. The record is from RNAcentral.
AGUAACGCGUGAGGAACCUGCCUUUCAGAGGGGGACAACAGUUGGAAACGACUGCUAAUACCGCAUGACACAUCGGAGGGGCAUCCCUUUGAUGUCAAAGAUUUUAUCGCUGAAAGAUGGCCUCGCGUCUGAUUAGCUAGUUGGUGAGGUAACGGCCCACCAAGGCGACGAUCAGUAGCCGGACUGAGAGGUUGACCGGCCACAUUGGGACUGAGAUACGGCCCAG